UUACGACCACAUCACGUUGAAACAUUGGUUCCUGUACGAUCACCGAAGUUAAGCAACGUCGAGCCUGGUCAGUACCUACAUAGGUGACCAUUUGGUAAUGCUAGGUUUUGUA
Molecule: non-coding RNA, 112 nt
Organism: Acanthosepion pharaonis
Lineage: Eukaryota; Metazoa; Mollusca; Cephalopoda; Sepiida; Sepiidae
Source: the annotation of a GenBank genome assembly